UUUGCAAUAUCAGCUGGCCUUGUUUCUUGCAAGCAGCUUAUGGCCUUGAGUUUGCUCACAUGAUCUUUCUUUCUUUUUUCUAUCACUGUGAGAAGUUUUUCUAACACAACACAGUAAUAGUUUUGUUAGUAGCUCAAAUUAAGUGAACGUGGCACUAACCAGAUGAAUCAGAGGGAUAAAAUGAUUGGAUAUAUUAAUGAAAGGUAAUUGUAAUAGAGUCCCGGCUGCAACUCUGUUACUAGGAGGGUGUCGACAGCUGAAGAUAAUUAGCACCUGUCGGGGAAGAGGCGCACCACGCCCUCUGGAGCCAAUGAGGCUCAGGAAGGAAGGAUAAGAAGCAGAGAAGACCAGCGAGAAGUUGCCUUCAGGCACCAACAGAUUGAGAGAUGCUGGCGAGGAGCUCUGCGGCGAGGGAUCCAGAGGAGGACCCAGAAGCAAGGGCUCACUCUCCCAAACGGUGACGGGAUUCCAGGACCGAUCACCCCCUCCCCGCUACGUACUUGAAACCCUCAGCAUCUGUGGUGAGUCGCAGGGAACGGCACAGCAGCGCAGAGAAAAGCCGUGGCUCCCUGCCAAGAUGCAGCGGGGCUACCCAGGAGGAGAAAGGGGGUGGGGGACACCUGACCCAGCCCUGAAGAGACAGGGCCCUGGCACCCUCACCUGAAGAAGAGGGGGCUGGGAGGCAAAAGACUGGGAAAGAGCCACGAUCCUCACGCUGGCACAAGGUGCAGCAAGAGAAUCCUGGUGCGGACAGUAAUCAGCUGCUAAUGAGGCAAUUAGCAGCGGAUAACUGGGACGUUGUGCGGUACUUACCGACCAAGUAAAUUGAUGGGGAUCAGCUCAAAUACACAGGGGGUCUCCACGGAGGGUCCAACAGGCUGCCCCCUCCUCCCAGUGUUCCUGAAAAGAGUAGUACAAAGACAGAGAAUAAUAAAGCACCGCUACUUUAUCCCAAUCAAGCAUGGUCCUUCCCACGGGUACGUGCGCGGUUAACACCUCCUUCCUCCCCAUUUUAUUUAAGAUCAAAAGUUGUGGCAGGUGAGAAUCUAGGGGUUUAGGAGGUACCCAGCGCAGACACGCUGACAGUGAUAAAGGAGACCAAUGGACAAUGCUUAAAGUAAGACACCGGAAAAAGGCCAAAUUAAGAGGUGUGCUCGUAAUGGGUAUGUUGAACAAAGGAAUAUGCUGACAGGAUAAAAUAUGAAUAAUAUGCUAACUGCAGAUAGACCAAUCCAAAAGCAAGGAGUCAUAAAAGGAGUCAAGUUAAAGAAAAGCAUAAAAGGGGGGAAGUUAAGUGUUGUUAUCAUCAUCAUCAUCAUCAUUAACAUCGUGAAUCCAGCUUUCGACACCUGUCUGGAUCAUCCCAGCCAACGACGCACCCUUUGCUUCAGGAACUGAGUGGCUGUCUUUUCUGUGAGGCAAAGUAACAUCUGGGAUUGGGUUCCUGACCAGGGUCCAGGAGGUUAUAGCUCCACUGCACGACUGGAGUCAAAUAUCCGCUGCCUCCAGUGGCUACCGUUACAUCUCCUCUGCAAGAAAAAAAUAAUCAAACGAAAUGAAAUACAGUCUCAUCGGAGAACAGCCGCAGCCCGUGCCUGUCCGCGGAGAGAGUCAAAGCGACAGUCGGGAUGGAGCCCAGCGUCACCUACCCACGUCCCGCCCUACCGCGUGAGAACACUCCUCAGCAUGUUACUGGACCUCUGCUGACAGCUCCUGCCCCUGAACCCUGGGUUAUUUUGACUUGCUUCUUGAUUACAAAGCAGUUUCCUCUGGAGAGGCCUAUUUGACAGCUGAGGUGGAUGCACCGCUCGGAGACUGGGUUCCCUGCCAGGGACCAGCUGGGCAAGCGUUACAUCUGUCAGGGCAGGAAUGUCUUUCCAAAGAAUUCCCCUUGGUCUGCAUUAGAGAUCUCCUGUAGGCCCCACACUCACCUAGGCUCAUACUGCAGCAGUGCAGCCUUGGGGCAGAGGGCAUUUUCUGACUAAUGUCCAACUUUCUCCAUCUCACUUGCAAGGGGGGAAGCACGUGCCACUCUUUUCACAAGAGUUCUUCCAUUUUAUGUUGCUGGUAGGUAUAUUUUAUUGAACUCAGGAUAAUAGUCUUUGGCCUGAGCAGCUUGUUAAAUGCCAGCACUGGGACUGAUCAUUUUCUGCUGAUUCUGAUAUCUGAGAGGCAGCGAUAUUUUGGGGGGUUAUAGCUUUGAUUGGAUCGAUUGCAUGGCUGGGAGAGGUUUUAGACAAGCUUUGGUGCACAAAGUACUCUUCUUCAGGUUACCAUUUUGAAACAUUAUUUUGAGCUGUAUUGAGAUAUACUCAACAAGCUACACACAGAUCCCUGGCAUCUGCCAUUUUCUCUGUUACAUUUUUUGGAAUUUGUACUGAGUUUUCUGCUAAUUCAUUUGAUUGUGCAGGCCGAGGACUUGCAGGAUGUGGUUACAUUGAGAUAGCAAAGAGAGGCUCUAAAAUGAACCGCUCCUUCAGUUUCCAACUCUCACACUGUGUGCGCGAAUGUCAAGGUCCAGCUCCUGCAGAUAACAGACAGCAGGAGAAAUCCAGCUUCCAUGUUUGUAAGUCAGUGAGUUUCUAGCUCUCCUGGUUGUGGGGAAAAAGUCUAGAAAUGUGACCCAGGGUAUAAAAAUUCAGAAAUCAUAGUACAGGUACAAGCAAUAUGUGUGUGUGUGUUUUUAAGAAGGACCUCACCAUUUCAAGGCAAUAUCAUGAAUUUGGAGGUGGGGGUGGGGUAUGACUCAUGGUUUUUUAUGUUUAGACUUGGCAAUGCUAGGAGCAGUGAGCAAUUAUCUUUUAUUAAACCAUGUGGAAUACCACAGGGAGCAAACUGUA
This is a long non-coding RNA of Alligator mississippiensis (American alligator), 2840 nucleotides long. RefSeq lists it as uncharacterized. The record is from RefSeq and is a predicted model, not a curated record. NCBI's taxonomy places the organism in Eukaryota, Metazoa, Chordata, Crocodylia, Alligatoridae. The transcript has 2 exons.